Long non-coding RNA from Silurus meridionalis, 524 nucleotides. RefSeq lists it as uncharacterized. Lineage: Eukaryota; Metazoa; Chordata; Actinopteri; Siluriformes; Siluridae. The record is from RefSeq and is a predicted model, not a curated record. The transcript is spliced from 2 exons.
GUGUGUGUGUGUGUGUGUGUGUGUGUGUGUGUGUGUGUGUGUGUGUGUGUGUGUUACCCCCACACACACUCUUGUGGCAGACUAAACAAUCCGAGCAGGGGCACACACAUUGAAGUGAUUCUGCCAGACACAUGAUGCAAUUGCAGAGCAAUGCGCUCUCAGACCACCACCGGACGAGAGACCUAGAGAGAGAGAGAGAAUGAGAGAGAGGGAGAUGAAGGAGAAGAAAGAGGUGAACGGGAGGAGGUCUGAACCAAGAUGACGUCGGCACACUCUGAUCACCACUACAAAAUGUGGUGUGUGUUUAGCACGUGUGCAUGUGCGUGUUUAGGAACCCUUUGUAGUUCUGCUUGGAGGAUAGAGACACCUGGUGGCCUUCUGUGUCUCUACAGUUACAUCACUGACAUUCCUGUGUCCUGAUUGGCCAGUGUAUAUACUGCAAAGACUUUUUCCACAAAUCACAAUGGACUUCAACUGUGAACCGCUGAUGACUUCAGAUUAAAAAUAAAAAUUGUAAAACAAGA